AUUGAACGCUGGCGGCAUGCUUUACACAUGCAAGUCGAACGGCAGCGCGGGCUUCGGCCUGGCGGCGAGUGGCGAACGGGUGAGUAAUGCAUCGGAACGUGCCCAGUAGUGGGGGAUAGCCCGGCGAAAGCCGGAUUAAUACCGCAUACGACCUGAGGGUGAAAGCGGGGGACCGAAAGGCCUCGCGCUAUUGGAGCGGCCGAUGUCGGGUUAGCCAGUUGGUGGGGUAAAGGCUUACCAAGGCGGCGAUCCGUAGCUGGUCUGAGAGGACGACCGGCCACACUGGGACUGAGACACGGCCCAGACUCCUACGGGAGGCAGCAGUGGGGAAUUUUGGACAAUGGGGGCAACCCUGAUCCAGCCAUGCCGCGUGCGGGAAGAAGGCCUUCGGGUUGUAAACCGCUUUUGUUCGGGAAGAAAUCCUCUGGGCUAAUACCCCGGGGGGAUGACGGUACCGGAAGAAUAAGCACCGGCUAACUACGUG
Molecule: ribosomal RNA, 484 nt
Filed under: uncultured bacterium
Lineage: Bacteria
Description: partial 16S ribosomal RNA
Rfam family: Bacterial small subunit ribosomal RNA
Source: RNAcentral